Molecule: long non-coding RNA, 1859 nt
Organism: Psammomys obesus (fat sand rat)
Lineage: Eukaryota; Metazoa; Chordata; Mammalia; Rodentia; Muridae
Exons: 2
Source: RefSeq, a predicted model, not a curated record
UCUCUUGCAGGGUCAGAUCCUUCAGAUAUAAUUUAGCGAAACCAUCUGGGUGUACCUGAGGAUUGCGGGGUCUUGAGGCCUCUGGCCUGAGGAGGAGCCCGGGCAAACGCUAACUUCCGGGAUUUUAGUAUUAGGAGCAGUAGGUGGUUGGUGACUUUGUUCCUUUCCACCCGACCUUUAGUCACACGAUAGAAUUUAAGAGUCGUAGCAGAGACUCAACACACUUUGUUUUUUGAGACAGGGCCUUACUAUGUUACCCUGGCUGGCCUUGAACUCAGGUCUGCCUCUGCCUCCCAAGUGCUGGGACUGAAGGCGUGUGCCACCACCAUGCCCGGCUUGCCCUUUCUUUUUCGUUUUUUCAAGACAGGGUAUCUUUGUGUAGCCUUGGCUAUCCCAAAACUAGCUCUGUAGACCAGGCUGGCCUUGAAGUCACAGAUCCUCCUGCCUCUGCCUCCUGAGUGCUGGGACUGGAGUAUGCGCCCUGACUGCCCAGCUCAGCCUUUCUUAUAGAACCCAGGACCAGCAGCCCAGGGAUGGCACCACCACAGUGGGCUGGGCCCUCCCCCAUCAAUCGCCCUAUCUUAACAAAGAAGAAAGUUCUUCUCGUAAAAGAAAAUGCUUUACGGCCAGAUCUAAUGGAGGCAUUUUCUCAACUGAGGCUCCUCUUUUGUGGUAACUCUAGUUUGUGUGUCAAGGUGACACAGCAGCCAGCACACACAGUCCCAGGCCUCGGCAUGGGCAGCCCCUGCUACUCAGAACACCUGUCUCCUACCCCGCCCCGGCUUCCUGCUCAUUCACUCACUGUUGACCUGGCAUUUCCUAUGUGGUCACUGUUUAGACUCAGGCACUGAUAAAAACUCCAUCCUGCCUCUCCUCUAGGGGAGACCGAAAACAAAAGCGAGCUGGAGAGAGUGGUGCACGCCUGCAACCCUAGCCCUGGGGAGGUGGGAGGAGGAGGGGGUUUAAGGCCAUCCUUGGCUACAUAGCAAGUGCAGGUCCAGCCUGGGCUACGCGAGACCUUCUUAGGAGCCAGAUGAUCCAAGGCUUUCUCAGAGGCCCGGAUGAAAAAGCCAAGUAAAUGUUGGUUCUGUCUGCGUCACAGUGAGCAGACUCGGCAGAGUCGGAGGCUGGGGCCCGGCCUUGAAGGAGCGAGGGUCCUGCUGUCUGCUCUGGGUUGUGGCUAUCGGCCCUUGGAUGAAUGGUGCGCGUGGGAGGAGUCACCCCGUGUUCGGUUUGCCCACACUGUCCUGCGUGGCCGGUCCCACCACACUAGCACUGAGAUGCUGUGUUUGUCCUAAGCUCUGGCAUAAGCCAUCAACUUACACAGACCUCCCGGUCCCAGCUAGGAGUCUCGCCCCUUAACACCUGGCCACUCAGGACCUUUAUUUCUGUGGGAGGGUCAAACUCAGCCACUGGCCUGGUCAGCACCUUCCUUACAUGCCGAGUGUCUCUCCAGCCCUGGACCUGGGAUUUUUAACCCAAUCCUGCCUUAAAGGUUUUUUUUCUCUUCCUGUUGUUUCCUUUCCUCCUUCCCGUCCUUCCCAGUCUCUAGUUCAAGCUGGCCUCAAGCUCACUGAGGAUGACCUUGAACUCAUCUCCCUGCCUGCGGCUGGAGGGACCUGGAUUACGGCAGGAUCUUACUGCCACUUCAGAUGCGAAGACACAGAAGGGCCUGGCCCAGGAGGAGGCAUCAGCUUAACCCCUUCUGGUUAGUCACUCCAUGAUAAAAUGUGCGCCUCAGUCUGUAACUUCUUUUUCUUUUCCUGAUGUGCUCUCACUCUGUAGCCCAGGCUGGCCUCAAAUUUACAGAGCUCCACCUGCCCGUGUGCCCUGGGAUUAAAGGCGUGACGCACCACGGC